CCAGCAUGCACCAGUGCCGGAAGCUGUGCAGGAAGGUGACUCCAAGACAGGAGCCCUUCCCGGGAAGCUGGGCUCUUAACCCGGGUGGGGGGGGCAGCAAACCUGGUGAAUGGGCUACUUCCCCACCCUGACCCAGCUUCCUGCUAUACUAGGGCCAGGUGGGGAGGGGGUCAGCAGGAGCUGGUCAGGCUAAGGCGCUGAGGGCUGAAGGCGUGGUUCCUGCUUUCCUUGAAGGUCUUAAGGGACAUCCUUUUCAGUCCUGACUCCACCUGCAAGACAGUGGGGCAUCCUGUUCAUGGAGGAAGUCCUGGCUCCACAGGAAGCCCCCUCCCCACAGAGGUCCGACCUUCUCAGGAGACCUGACAUCCUGACUCCUCUACCCACAGCAUGAGGAAGGUUCCAGAAGCUUCCUGAAAGAAGCCACCACCUGCUGAGCAGCUGAGUCUGUUUUUCUGACAAGCUCUGAGCUCCGGACACGGCAACAAGAUCCCGGCAUAGUGGGGAUGGGUCCCCUCCCUUUAUAAACUCAGACUCCUAAGUAAACAUUGGGUCUUGAUCAGGAA
Molecule: long non-coding RNA, 563 nt
Organism: Mastomys coucha (southern multimammate mouse)
Lineage: Eukaryota; Metazoa; Chordata; Mammalia; Rodentia; Muridae
Exons: 3
Source: RefSeq, a predicted model, not a curated record